UGGGGAAUCUUCCGCAAUGGACGAAAGUCUGACGGAGCAACGCCGCGUGAGUGAAGAAGGUUUUCGGAUCGUAAAACUCUGUCUUUUGGGGCGAACGUGAGUAUGGUGAACAAUCAUAGUCAGUGACGGUACCAAAGGAGGAAGCCACGGCUAACUACGUGCCAGCAGCCGCGGUAAUACGUAGGUGGCAAGCGUUGUCCGGAAUUAUUGGGCGUAAAGAGCGCGUAGGCGGGAUAGUCAGUCUGUUGUAAAGUGCGGGGCUCAACCCCGUGAUGGCAAUGGAAACAGCUAUUCUUGAGUGCAGGAGAGGAAAGUGGAAUUCCCAGUGUAGCGGUGAAAUGCGUAGAUAUUGGGAGGAACACCAGUGGCGAAGGCGACUUUCUGGACUGUGUCUGACGCUGAGGCGCGAAAGCCAGGGGAGCGAACGGGAUUAGAUACCCCCGGUAGUCCUGGCCGUAAACGAUGGGUACUAGGUGUGGGAGGUAUCGACCCCCUUCCGUGCCGGAGUUAACGCAAUAAGUACCCCCGCCUGGGGAGUACGGUCGCAAGACUGAAACUCAAAUGAAUUGACGGGGUCAUAGCUGUUU
Molecule: ribosomal RNA, 587 nt
Filed under: uncultured bacterium
Lineage: Bacteria
Description: partial 16S ribosomal RNA
Rfam family: Bacterial small subunit ribosomal RNA
Source: RNAcentral